CCUACGGGUGGCAGCAGUGGGGAAUAUUGCACAAUGGGGGAAACCCUGAUGCAGCGACGCCGCGUGAGUGAAGAAGUAAUUCGUUACGUAAAGCUCUAUCAGCAGGGAAGAAACACUGACCUUACGGUCAGCAGACGGUACCUGAGUAAGAAGCCCCGGCUAACGACGUGCCAGCAGCCGCGGUAAUACGUAGGGGGCAAGCGUUAUCCGGAUUUACGGGGUGUAAAGGGAGCGUAGACGGUGCGCCAAGUCUGGAGGGAAAUGCCGCCGCUUAACGGCGGAACUGCUUUGGAAACUGGCGACCUAGAGUGCGGGAGGGGUCAGCGGAAUUCCUAGUGUAGCGGUGAAAUGCGUAGAUAUUAGGAGGAACACCGGUGGCGAAGGCGGCUUACUGGACCGUGACUGACGUUGAGGCUCGAAAGCGUGGGGAGCAAACAGGAUUAGCUACCCGAGUAGUC
RNAcentral lists this ribosomal RNA (458 nucleotides) under uncultured bacterium. RNAcentral's name for it is "partial 16S ribosomal RNA". It matches the Rfam family "Bacterial small subunit ribosomal RNA", at positions 338 to 795 of the family's 1533-position model. The record is from RNAcentral.